Molecule: ribosomal RNA, 253 nt
Filed under: uncultured bacterium
Lineage: Bacteria
Description: partial 16S ribosomal RNA
Rfam family: Bacterial small subunit ribosomal RNA
Source: RNAcentral
UACGUAGGGGGCAAGCGUUGUCCGGAUUUAUUGGGCGUAAAGAGCGUGUAGGCGGUCAGGUAGGUCGGUUGUGAAAACUGGAGGCUCAACCUUCAGAGGUCGACCGAAACCCCCUGGCUAGAGUCCGGGAGAGGAGAGUGGAAUUCCUGGUGUAGCGGUGAAAUGCGCAGAUAUCAGGAAGAACACCCGUGGCGAAAGCGGCUCUCUGGAACGGUACUGACGCUGAGGAGCGAAAGCGUGGGGAGCGAACAGG